UACGUAGGGUGUAAGCGUUAAUCGGAAUUACUGGGCGUAAAGCGUGCGCAGGUGGUCUUUUAAGAGAGUUGUGAAAUCCCCGGGCUCAACCUGGGAACUGCAUUUGUGACUGCAAGGCUGGAGUACGUUAGAGGGGGGUGGAAUUCCGCGUGUAGCGGUGAAAUGCGUAGAUAUGCGGAGGAACACCGAAGGCGAAGGCAGCCCCCUGGUACUGUACUGACGCUCAUGCACGAAAGCGUGGGGAGCAAACAGG
Molecule: ribosomal RNA, 253 nt
Filed under: uncultured bacterium
Lineage: Bacteria
Description: partial 16S ribosomal RNA
Rfam family: Bacterial small subunit ribosomal RNA
Source: RNAcentral